This 1804-nucleotide long non-coding RNA is filed under the name Oreochromis niloticus (Nile tilapia). Its description in RNAcentral is "lncRNA (ENSONIG00000030825.1)". The record is from RNAcentral. Lineage: Eukaryota; Metazoa; Chordata; Actinopteri; Cichliformes; Cichlidae.
UUUAUUUAUUCAUUUAUUUAUUUAUUUAUUUAUUCAUGUGUGCAUUUGUAAAAUAGUUUCAUUUGUGGUCAAAUUGUUUUGUGUGUGGAUUGAAACAGGCUUUCGUGAGUCCUCGGAGGUUUCACACAAAUCACUGCACAUAUUUUUAAAUGUUAGUCUUAGCACAUGAAUGAUUUGUGUUUCCUCUGCAGGUGAAGGUAGAAAGUGUGUGUGAGCUGAAUUGAGCAGCAUGGAUCAGUGUGAGGACAGAGAGGAGGGAGUCCCUCCCUCUAAAAGCACUCUGUGUGGGGAACAUGAGAGCCAGACCAAAGCUCAGAGGAACCAACCAGGAACCAGACACAAACAUGAACCUGAACCCAGCUGUGUGUCCUUACAGAGUGACUGGUCUAAAGGUCUCUCCAUUGAUUUUAAAGUCCAGCCUGUGUCUGCUGCAGAAAGGAUCCAUGGAAGACCUGCUGGACCUGAACCUGAACCCAGCUGUGUGUCCUUACAGAGUGACUGGUCUAAAGGUCUCUCCAUUGAUUUUAAAGUCCAGCCUCUGUCUGCUGUAGAGAGGUGAGCUGUUAGGAACAUGAACUCUUUAACUGCUUGAUGUUGUUGGAUAGAAACUGCAAACACAUCAUUCCCUCAAUCCCAUUUAAACAUCUCUUAAAAACAAGCCUUUGGUUUCUAAAGAGCUGAAAAUCCACCUCAGCAAACAGGAAGUGAUGAUCGUGCUCAUGUUUUCUUCCAUCAGUCAUGUUGUGCUGCAAUGUUCCCUCUAAUUUUUCAUGUGUCUGAGCGAACACACAAAUUCCCUGAGCGGUCCCGUGGAUCACUGUGAGCGACAUGAGACGUGUGCACUGUGGUCACGCCAGCAUCGAAUCCAUCCAAGUUACAUGGUUUAUUAAAAUAAUCAAAUUAUAGCAUUUACAUUUAUGUUAGACUACUUUGAAUUAACUGCUUUAGCCCACUUACAGUGGAAAUGUAUUUAGCGUUAUUUUGUUUUCAUUUUUAGUGUUAACUCGGUUUUCCUCAAUCUUUUCACCUGUGUUAUGAAUAAAUCUUCUUUUUUUCGGUACUUGUACUGGUUUCACUCCUCAUCAGCCACGCCGCUUUGCCAGCUAAAACACCGGUGUGGGCACAUAACGACGCUGCCGUAGCCUGUCAACGACAUUGAUUAGCAGCUGUUAAAAUCCGGGUUCAAUUUAUUGAGGGAGAGCACAAAAACAACAACUGGUCCAGAAGAGUCGGUCAAACAAUGAUUUUUAAUGAACACACGCGUGGGAGAUGUACACUGCAACAUCAGCUGUAAAUCUCACCCCAAAACUGCACAAUAAAUUGUUUUAUAACAUCAGGGCAUUUUUAAUGACGCCCCCUCAUGCGUCAAGAAGAUACAUACAUGAGUUUCAAAAACACACAUGUCCUGUUGACAACUUUUGAGACAUUUAAAAGGACUUCUUCUUCUUCCCGAGGCCAGGCCCUUCCCGGUAAUCUUCUAACUCUGCUUAUUUCCUAGAACAAACUUUCUCUCCUGCAGUACAUAAUCUUACAGUUACAAGGUUUUGCAAAGUAUUAUUUGAAUACUCAUGUUUAGGUAAGAGUUCAACUACUGUUUGUGUGUGCGUGUGUGUCUCGACCUCAGCAUCCACUCGGCCUCCCUCCGCCCGUUGAUGCCUCUGACCUUUUGCCAGACAGAAGCUCUCUGUGAUAUGUGUAAUAUUCUUAACUAAGAACAUAUAUAAUCUAUUGAAUAAAUGCUUUACCAAAAUGCCACUACUCAAAGCUUAAAAAAAGGAUAUAAAUGAAUAAGAAAUACUAAUUG